GAUGAACGCUGGCGGCGUGCCUAACACAUGCAAGUCGAGCGAACGGACGAUAAGCUUGCUUCGCUGAUGUUAGCGGCGGACGGGUGAGUCACACGUGGAUCACCCACCUAUAAUACUGGGAUAAUCACGGGAAACCGGAGCUUAUACCGGAGAAUAUUCUGAACCGCAUGGUUCAAAAGUGAGAGACGGCGUUGCGGGCGGUUGUGGAUGGAUGCGCGCUGCAUGAGCUAGUUGGUGGGGUAGCGGCUUAUCAAGGCAAUGACGGGUAGCCGGCAUGAGAGGGGGACCGGCCACAUGGGGACUGAGAUACGGCCCAGACUCCUACGGGAGGCAGCAGUGGGGAAUAUUGCACAAGGGGCGGAAGCCUGAUGCAGCAACGCCGCGUGCGGGAUGACGGCCUUCGGGUUGUAAACCGCUUUCGCCUGUGACGAAGCGUGAGUGACGGUAAUGGGUAAAGAAGCACCGGCUAACUACGUG
Molecule: ribosomal RNA, 477 nt
Filed under: uncultured bacterium
Lineage: Bacteria
Description: partial 16S ribosomal RNA
Rfam family: Bacterial small subunit ribosomal RNA
Source: RNAcentral